Long non-coding RNA from Nothoprocta perdicaria, 385 nucleotides. RefSeq lists it as uncharacterized. The record is from RefSeq and is a predicted model, not a curated record. The transcript is spliced from 3 exons. Lineage: Eukaryota; Metazoa; Chordata; Aves; Tinamiformes; Tinamidae.
CAAGGUGGUGGGAAGCCUACUCAUGCAUUCUCAUAAGAAUAGCCUAGAUACACCAUAGAAAGGUUGUUAAAACUUGCUGACAUUUUCUCUCUUUUGCMGUGAGAGAAAUCCUCCCUGCCCGUUCUGUGCCAUGCAGCUGUCUGCUAAGUCCCUCAGCAGCUUGUUCCCAUCACUGUCACCAAGCUGCUUGGCUUUACCUAUGGGUGAGAUCUCUGAGGAGUGUGGAUAAGAGCCUGUACAUGUCGGAGGUGCUUUGGAGGAGAUCCUCACCUUCCAGGAGGAGAUCCUUCACAUAGUGAGGAGCGUGUGACGUUUACCCACUGGAGAGGCCCCGUCUUCUGAGAGUGGCUCUGCGCAAGGCCUGGAUUACACACAGGAAAACUGG